UCGGGCGGUUCCCCUUCGGGGGACAGGGUGACAGGUGGUGCAUGGUUGUCGUCAGCUCGUGUCGUGAGAUGUUGGGUUAAGUCCCGCAACGAGCGCAACCCUCGACCUUAGUUGCCAGCAUUCAGUUGGGCACUCUAAGGUGACUGCCGGCUAAAAGUCGGAGGAAGGUGGGGAUGACGUCAAAUCAUCAUGCCCCUUAUGACCUGGGCUACACACGUGCUACAAUGGGCGGUACAAAGGGUCGCGAACCCGCGAGGGGGAGCCAAUCCCAAAAAGCCGCUCUCAGUUCGGAUUGCAGGCUGCAACUCGCCUGCAUGAAGCCGGAAUCGCUAGUAAUCGCGGAUCAGCAUGCCGCGGUGAAUACGUUCCCGGGCCUU
This 377-nucleotide ribosomal RNA is filed under the name uncultured Anoxybacillus sp. RNAcentral's name for it is "bacterial SSU rRNA". It matches the Rfam family "Bacterial small subunit ribosomal RNA", at positions 1005 to 1382 of the family's 1533-position model. Lineage: Bacteria; Bacillati; Bacillota; Bacilli; Caryophanales; Anoxybacillaceae. The record is from RNAcentral.